Molecule: non-coding RNA, 143 nt
Organism: Pelobates fuscus (common spadefoot toad)
Lineage: Eukaryota; Metazoa; Chordata; Amphibia; Anura; Pelobatidae
Product: small Cajal body-specific RNA 11
Exons: 1
Source: RefSeq, a predicted model, not a curated record
GUCCCCCCCCCUUUGUAUUUAGGGCCCCCACCCACCGCUCAGGGGUGGGGGCCGGGGGGGGGGGACAGUAGGUCCCCCCCCCUUAUUGAUAAUUUUAGGGCCCCCACCCGCCGCACAGGGGUGGGGGCCGGGGGGGGGACAGU